GCGAUCAUAGUGUAGCGGUCUAACACUACUCCCUGUGGAGGAGUCAACACGGGUUCGAAUCCCGUUGAUCGCC
RNAcentral lists this transfer RNA (73 nucleotides) under Candidatus Parcubacteria bacterium. RNAcentral's name for it is "tRNA-His". It matches the Rfam family "tRNA". Rfam says of the family: Transfer RNA (tRNA) molecules are approximately 80 nucleotides in length. Their secondary structure includes four short double-helical elements and three loops (D, anti-codon, and T loops). Further hydrogen bonds mediate the characteristic L-shaped molecular structure. tRNAs have two regions of fundamental functional importance: the anti-codon, which is responsible for specific mRNA codon recognition, and the 3' end, to which the tRNAs corresponding amino acid is attached (by aminoacyl-tRNA synthetases). tRNAs cope with the degeneracy of the genetic code in two manners: having more than one tRNA (with a specific anti-codon) for a particular amino acid; and 'wobble' base-pairing, i.e. permitting non-standard base-pairing at the 3rd anti-codon position. The record is from RNAcentral. Lineage: Bacteria; Candidatus Parcubacteria.